CCUACGGGAGGCAGCAGUGGGGAAUAUUGCGCAAUGGGCGAAAGCCUGACGCAGCAACGCCGCGUGGGGGAUGAAGGCCUUCGGGUUGUAAACCCCUUUCAGCAGGAACGAAAAUGACGGUACCUGCAGAAGAAGGACCGGCCAACUACGUGCCAGCAGCCGCGGUAAUACGUAGGGUCCGAGCGUUGUCCGGAUUUAUUGGGCGUAAAGAGCUCGUAGGCGGCUUGGCAAGUCGGAAGUUAAAACAGCAGGCUCAACCUGCUGCCGCUUUCGAUACUGCUAUGGCUUGAGUCUGGUAGGGGACCAUGGAAUUCCUGGUGUAGCGGUGAAAUGCGCAGAUAUCAGGAGGAACACCAAUGGCGAAGGCAGUGGUCUGGGCCAGUACUGACGCUGAGGAGCGAAAGCGUGGGGAGCGAACAGGAUUAGAUACCCUAGUAGUC
This 440-nucleotide ribosomal RNA is filed under the name uncultured bacterium. RNAcentral describes it as "bacterial SSU rRNA". It matches the Rfam family "Bacterial small subunit ribosomal RNA", at positions 338 to 795 of the family's 1533-position model. The record is from RNAcentral.